Molecule: ribosomal RNA, 305 nt
Filed under: uncultured bacterium
Lineage: Bacteria
Description: bacterial SSU rRNA
Rfam family: Bacterial small subunit ribosomal RNA
Source: RNAcentral
AUUGGCCUACGGGAGGCAGCAGUGGGGAAUAUUGGGCAAUGGAGGAAACUCUGACCCAGCAAUGCCGCGUGAAUGAAGAAGGUCUUCGGAUUGUAAAGUUCUUUAGUCAGGGAAGAAGUCAAUGACGGUACCUGCAGAGGAAGCCACGGCUAACUACGUGCCAGCAGCCGCGGUAAUACGUAGGUGGCAAGCGUUGUUCGGAAUAACUGGGCGUAAAGGAUGCGUAGGCGGUUAAACAAGUUAUAUGUUAAAUAUAUAGGCUUAACCUGUAGAAAGCAUAUAAAACUGUUUAACUAGAGUGCAGG